AGCAGCAAUUUUAGCUUUGGAGGUAAGAAUGUAAAAGCUUGACUCCAUUGGAGAAAGGUGGCUCCAUACUGACUACGGUUUUUUGUUGUUUUUCAUGAGACAGGGCUGAAACCCAGGCUGGAGUGCAGUAGCAUGAUCACAGCUCACUGUAGCCUUGACCUCCAGGAUUCAAGCAAUCCUCCCACCGCAGUCUUCCAAGAUCCCAGCUCUGUUGCCGAGGCUGGAGUGCAGUGGCGCAAUCUCGGCUCACUGCAACCUCCCCAUCUCAGGCUCAAGCAAUUCUCCCAGCUCAGCUCCCUGAGUAGCUGCGACCACAGAGAUGGGGUUUCACCAUGUUGCUCAGGCUGGUCUCAAAUUCCUGGACUCAGGGGAUCCACCUGCCUCAGCCUUCAUCCUCACACUUAAUAUAUUAAUAUAGAACAUGCUGUAAGAUCAGAAGCAGUUUAUAUAGUAUGCUGUCAUUUUGU
This is a long non-coding RNA of Symphalangus syndactylus (siamang), 467 nucleotides long. RefSeq lists it as uncharacterized. The record is from RefSeq and is a predicted model, not a curated record. Lineage: Eukaryota; Metazoa; Chordata; Mammalia; Primates; Hylobatidae.